GAAACGCGAAAGGUAAUGCGAAUUGCAGAAUCAGUGAGUCAUCGAAUCUUUGAACGCACAUUGCGCCUCUCGGUAUUCCGGGAGGCACGCCUGUUCGAGCGCCAUUACAAACUCCAAGCGUGGCUUGAUGUUGGGCGAUGUCUUUUUGCGAGAGCGGAGACACGCCUGGAACGCGUUGGCGCCGCCGCCGGACCACGAGCGUGGCAAGACGAGAGUCAAUCGCAUCGAUUUGGAUUCCGACGGAGGUCCGCCAUGGGACUGCACUUUCGAGUGUAAGUUCACAACUUCUCUCAAGUUUGGCCUCGGAUCAGGCGGGGAUACCCGCUGAACUUAAGC
Molecule: unclassified non-coding RNA, 336 nt
Filed under: plant metagenome
Description: partial contains 5.8S ribosomal RNA, internal transcribed spacer 2, and large subunit ribosomal RNA
Rfam family: 5.8S ribosomal RNA (bases 1-104)
Source: RNAcentral